RNAcentral lists this ribosomal RNA (249 nucleotides) under uncultured bacterium. RNAcentral describes it as "partial 16S ribosomal RNA". It matches the Rfam family "Bacterial small subunit ribosomal RNA", at positions 796 to 1041 of the family's 1533-position model. The record is from RNAcentral.
CACGCUGUAAACGAUGAGAACUAGAUGCUUGUUGACUAAGGUUAAUGAGUAUUGAAGCAAACGCGUUAAGUUCUCCGCCUGGGGAGUACGGCCGCAAGGUUAAAACUCAAAGGAAUUGACGGGGGCCCGCACAAGCGGUGGAGCAUGUGGUUUAAUUCGAUGCAACGCGAAAAACCUUACCUACCCUUGACAUGCCAGGAAUCCUAAAGAGAUUUGGGAGUGCCCGCGAGGGAGCCUGGACACAGGUGC